Molecule: long non-coding RNA, 667 nt
Organism: Nycticebus coucang (slow loris)
Lineage: Eukaryota; Metazoa; Chordata; Mammalia; Primates; Lorisidae
Exons: 3
Source: RefSeq, a predicted model, not a curated record
GGGCUGGGGCACUUCCACUGGACAGCACUGCUCAGGAACAAGUAAGCUGUCAGUGAGCUGUCCCUGGCUCACUGGGGACUCCACUAAAAAAUUCAAUCUGAAGGCACCUGCUGCACUCAGCUCCUCCUGCCUGCAGUCACAGAAGACUUGAAUAAAGAAGAAAAGAAGAAAAUGAAAAACAUAGGAAGCUUCCAAUUUUCACUUCUGGAGAAAGGUGCUUCUCAAACUGCUGUGUCAACUGCGCUGGUCCAGGGAGCAUGAGAAUCAGAGGACAAGCAGGCCCCCUGACUUGGAGCCACUAUUUAUAUGAUGAUGGAGGUGAUUUAAAUUUAUGUGGUAAGCCAGGUAAGGUGGCUCAUGCCUGUAAUCCUAGCACUCUGGGAGGCCAAGGCAGGUGGAUAGAUUGAGCUCAUGGGUUCGAGACCAGCCUGAGCAAGAAGCAAGACCCUGUACCUACUAAAAAUAGAAAAACUGAGGCAAGCAGUUCACUUGAGUCCAAGAGUGGGAGGUUAUGAUGCCAUGGCACUGUACCCAGGGUGACAGCUUGAAUCUCUGUCUCAAAAAAAAAAAAAAAAUUUAUGUGGUAAGGUUGGAUUACUUGAUAAAGAAUGCUGAAACAAUUCACUAUUGAUUUUUUAAAAAGAAUGAUUAUAAAUACAUUCCUAUA